RNAcentral lists this long non-coding RNA (14645 nucleotides) under Lathyrus oleraceus (garden pea). RNAcentral's name for it is "Pisum sativum (pea) long non-coding RNA (PSAT_LNC019644)". Lineage: Eukaryota; Viridiplantae; Streptophyta; Magnoliopsida; Fabales; Fabaceae. The record is from RNAcentral.
UUUUUAGAAACAAAUACUAAAAACUAUUAAGUUCAUAUAAAAAGUGGACGAGGUUUAUAAAUUACAAAGUAAUAAAACGAUCUUUUAUAUGCAAAGGUGUGAAAAUAUGACUGUAAUUGUGAGGUUUUUCUAUUUUGUAAUCAUCAUUCUUUUUCUAUUUCUUCUUAUUACGAAUGUUGAAGGUUAGUCAAUCUUAUAUAUUUUUUGAUUCUUUUAUACAGUUUAAUUAUAUUAUUUAAUUAUCUUUUUUCUUUCUUAUAGCGCUGAGAAAAAAAUGUCGAACCGAUUCAGAUUGUCCCAAACAAAUGUGCCGAUUUCCGACAUACAAUAAAUGUGUUAUUCGCAACCAUUGUCAAUGUGUUCUUUCUAAGAUUAUAUGAUUUCAAUAACAUAAGUAGUUAUGAAUUUGUAAUCUAAGUGAUGGUUAUAAAAGGAAAUAAGUCAACAACGAGUAUUAUUUAGAUGUUUUCUUCUCUCUUUAUUUCAGAGAUAUUUCCGUUGCCUUUUGAAUUCAUGCUUAUCAAUUUUCCUUGUCUACCUUAUCUCCUAUUAUGCUAACGAGUGCAUCUUGAAUACUCUAAAAUCCAAAUAAAUAAAAUAUUACAUUGAACACAAAUCUUUUUAAAAAAACAUACCUUUAAUUAUUUAGAAAUUUUAAGCAAUUUUUUUAGUUUCUUGUAUUUUUCUGGAAUUAUGAAUAAAUGAACAAAUACAUAACAUAAAAAUAAAGUGUAGAAAAUAAAUUAACACAAAGAAUUUUUCUGGUAUAUCUAACUCUCUCAUAUUACGUGAGAAUUUUUCACUAUUGUUAAAUCUUUGUACAAAUCUGACACAAAAACUUAUCUUAUAAUUUUCUAACAACAACAAAGAAACAUGUCACUUCCUUAAAUGCCAAACACCAACAAUUAUAGUGGAGUUUGAAUCAUCUAGAUUCAAAUGACUUUUCCAACAAAUAUAAAAAUAACAUUUCCUCAUUUGCAACAAUCUAUAAUAAGUACAACAUUUUCUACAAGAUAAAGAAUCACCACAUACUUGGUGAAGUUUGUAUGAAAAAUGUUGUAGACAAACUUUCCAUCAACUUUCAUCAACUUUGAGGUUUUGAUGAUUUUCUAAUACAUGAAAAUUCGAUAUUCUCUUCCAAUGAACAAAUCAAGAUUAUAUAGAUAUUUAAGCACCACUACUAAAAAAUUCAUGAUUAGUGACAAAAAAACUUAAAAACCGGUCCCUAUAAUGUUUAGUGACCAAUAAAGUGACAACUAAUUUUCGAUAGAAAAAAUGCUAGUUAUUAACCUUUAGCGACAUAUUUAACGACCAGUUUUAGUGACCAAUUUCAAAUAAUUAAAGAACUUAAAAUUAAAAUCAAAAGAUUUGCCACAUUCAAUACUUAAACAAAUUCCCUUAUGUUUUAGAAAUUUGUGCGUGAACACUAAACUAUUUCAUUUUAGUAGUUAUAUGUUUUAAAAUUAUAUAUAUUAUAAAUGAAAUUAAAAUAUUAAAUAUUAUUCAAAAAAUUAUUAAAUUAAUUAUCAUUAAAAUUACAUUUUUUUAAAUUAAUAAAUUUGUAUGGGUGAAUUAUUUAUAUAAAUAUAUAUUUUAUUUGUUAAAAUAAUAAAAACGUGAAACUUUCAUUAAAAAAUAAAAAUANAUUAUAAAUGAAAUUAAAAUAUUAAAUAUUAUUCAAAAAAUUAUUAAAUUAAUUAUCAUUAAAAUUACAUUUUUUUAAAUUAAUAAAUUUGUAUGGGUGAAUUAUUUAUAUAAAUAUAUAUUUUAUUUGUUAAAAUAAUAAAAACGUGAAACUUUCAUUAAAAAAAAAAUAUAUUUUUUUUUGAAAUAUUUUGAAGAAAGAAAACAUGGGGGAUGUAACUUAAUAAAGAAAAUAAAACUAUUAGUGAUCGAAAUUUCAAUCACUAAAAUUUUUUAUAAAUAAAUUUUUAAUAUAAGCGUUUGUUUGAGAAUGAAAAUUAGGUCACAAAUAUUGAUCACUAAUUUGGUGGUUAAUUUAAUUUAAUGACCUUUAAAAUUUAAUGACGAUGCCGUUCAAUUUCGGUGGACAAUUAGGUGGCAAUAGUGACCGAAUACUUUUAAUUAUUUAUUCGGUCAUUAAAAACAAAUUUUUUUAGUCGUGUGAUCAAGUAUUUCUCUAAACUUUUUCAAAUCAAAUGAAACUAAAUAAAGAUAAAUUAUAAAUAAUAACUUUUGGUGGAAGAUAUUAAUCAUACUUGAAAUUCCUCGAUGGUUCAAAGAAAUGAAUGUGUUGUUUCAUAUAUCCUUAUUCUUAUUAUUUCUCUCUGUCGCUGAUAAUGGUUUCAAUAUCAACUCCAAAACCAUUCUGACACACUUUAGGGGUGACGAAAACAUCAAUCAUCGCCAAAUUUCACACUUCAAUGAUUAGAGCUUCUAUUUUCAAGCUUGUCGUGCAACUCAGGUGUUAGUGAAAUCUUAAUUUCCUUUAGUGUGUCAGUUUAACACCAAUUAUACAAAGGAGAAUUGGUUAUGUGAAAGGUACAACAAGUCCCUACAACUUUGUAUGCUUGAGAAAUAUGUCAACCAGAAGACUUGCAUUUUUCAGAUAAAUCAUCAAUAUUAAAGUCAAUACUCAGAUUUACGGUAGCUAAUAAGAACUCAAUUUCUCAUCCAGGCUGUGAAAUCUUUCACUAAAAGGUAUUACACAUAUUGAACUAAUAUGUUUUAAUCAUAGAAGCUAAAAGGUAUUAAGAACCUGAACAAGAAGUGGUCUCAGUGAUACUGGAUUGGAAUGAUGCAAUAAAAUGCUUGUCGGGAUUGUUGAUAUUUGACCAAGUAGCUUUUGUUACAGCCAUGUACUUGCUAUCUAAGAUUUUUGGCACAUGCAUUAAUUAGAAAACGUGAUAAGUUUUAUGUGUAAAUGGGUUUAUGGCUAAAAGUAGAAGUGGUCAGUUACAAGUGUCGACGAAUUUGGUUUGUCGAAAAAGUGAUAUCAUCUUUGAUCGAAUAGUAAUCAGUAUAUUUGUUUUGAGACUUUGUGAAAUUUAGAGUUUCCAUAAUAUUUUUCCAAUUAGAUGAAUGAGAUGUAAGUGGAUAACAUCAGACAGUUAUUUGAGGACACAUGAGAGUUUGUCAAAUACAAAGGCUGCAUGGAGACGAAGACGUUACAUGUUUUGCUUAGUCGAUCGUUAUAGACGGUUAACUUAAGACUAGUAUAUAAGUAAGCAUACACUUAUCUUUUUAGAGGUCCACAAUUGUACAAAAAUUCUGUAAAACUUAAACUAUUCGUGUGUUUGUGAGAAUAGAGUCAAGAAUGUAUGUAUAUGCGUUCCAUUUUUUACAAAUCAAAGUUUUUAUCUUCAGUUAUUUACUGAAUUGAAAUUUAUUCCAAUUAAUUUUUGUUUCCUANUCAGUGAUACUGGAUUGAAUGAUGCCAAUAAAAUGCUUGUCGGUAUGUUGCAUAAUUUGACCAAGUAGCUUUUGUUACAGCCAUGCUAACUGUGCUAUUCUAAGAUUUUUGGCACAUGGCAUUUAAUUAGAAAACGUGAUAAGUUUUAUGUGUAAAUGGUUUAUGGCAAAAGUAGAAUGUGCUGUCAGUUACAAGUGUCGACGAAUUGGUUUUGUCGAAAAAGUGAUAUCAUCUUUGAUCGAAUAGUAAUCAGUAUAUUUGUUUUGAGACUUUGUGAAAUUUAGAGUUUCCAUAAUAUUUUUCCAAUUAGAUGAAUGAGAUGUAAGUGGAUAACAUCAGACAGUUAUUUGAGAACACAUGAGAGUUUGUCAAAUACAAAGGCUGCAUGGAGACGAAGACGUUACAUGUUUUGCUUAGUCGAUCGUUAUAGACGGUUAACUUAAGACUAGUAUAUAAGUAAGCAUACACUUAUCUUUUUAGAGGUCCACAAUUGUACAAAAAUUCUGUAAAACUUAAACUAUUCGUGUGUUUGUGAGAAAAGAGUCAAGAAUGUAUGUAUAUGCGUUCCAUUUUUUACAAAUCAAAGUUUUUAUCUUCAGUUAUUUACUGAAUUGAAAUUUAUUCCAAUUAAUUUUUGUUUCCUAUUAUAUUUAUUUUCAAUCAUUGUAAUUAUUUUUGUUUCUUUUAUAUUUUGAUUUCAAUGUAAAACAUGCUUCAAACAUUAAUUUUCACGCAAUAUGUUUUGGGAUCUCUUCGAGUUUAAUCCCGUGAAUGAAAUCAAACUUGUUUUGUUUAUCAAAUUUCAAAGUGAACAAGUACUACCAUUAUUAAAUAACUUCAUCCACAUCCUUUCUUUUAUUUUUACCUCGAGAGUGCAUCAAUUUCUGAUUGAAUAUUGCACUUAAUUGCAAACGAUGUCAAGUCUUCCAAUGUCAAGUAGAUUUUUUUCAUCCUACAUGCUCAAUUGUUCUCAAACCUAAUAAUUUCAUUGUCUACUGAACUUUGGUUGGGGAUGCUUAGAUCUUCAUUUGAAUCAUUUCCUGGUGCUUUUAAGUCUUUUUUUGUCCAAGAGUGAACUAGUGACCCAAGAAUAAAGGAUUAAAAGCAACUUUAAUAUGUGGAAUGAUGCAUUAUUUACUAACGUUUUUCCUUUCAUUUUGUAUGACCUUGGCAGUGUGAAAAAGCUUGGUAAGUUUUUACAAAUAAGCAUUACUUCGAAAAUCAGCUAUCAUAACGGUUGGAAAAGGACACAACCACGUCUGAUCAACCAUUGUUAGGUAGGAUGUAUUGUAUGUAUGAUGCUUUCUAUCACGAGCAUAAAACCAUUGCGAUGAACUAGAUAGUGCACUGUAUAUCACAACGGUUAAAGUAUACAACUGUUGUGAUAUAAAAUUAAAUGUAAAGAAGGAAAAAACAUGCCUUUUUAUUUUGGGGUUCUUCUUUCUUAGCUUCACCAGCAUUUGAAGGGCCUUCGACAUUUAUGUCACCCCUAACUUCAGUUUCAUCUACAACGAAAACGUGAAAACUAAGUAUUAAAAAUUAAUAAAAAAUAUAAACAUUAUAUCUUGGUUCUUUAAGAUUAAAAAUGCGAAUCUGACGACCUUGGAAUUUUGUUCAAACCCUGAAGUAUUCGCACCCGUAAGUUCACCUAUUAAAAAAAGAUUAGAAUGAAAAUAGAAAUCAAGACUAUUACGAGUGAACGCCAUGCAAUAUUUGUAUUCUUGAGUAGUGAGUUUCCUUUACACGCAUUGCAUCAAAAAUUAUUGCCAAAAAUAAUAAAUUGAGUUGUGAAGUCUAUUAAAAUAAAAUUAAAUGCGUUUGAACGAUGUCAAUAAAAAUUUAUAAAAAGUUUAAAGUUAUAACUAAUUUAAAUGAUUGAGUUAAAGUUUAUUUAUUUUUAAUAUCUUUUUGUUGAAGUAUAAAUUUUUUUAAUUAUUUGAAAAAUAUUAGGACCAACUUACAAAUUUUGAAAUAAUAAAAUACUUCAUAUAUUUUGUAGAGUACGAGAGAUAUUUCAAAUUUAUUGAUUUUAUGUAUUGUUUAAAAAGUAUUAAGUUUAAUUUGGAUAAAAUAUUUAAUAGAUUUAAAUUAUUUUAAUAUAUUUUUAAAUUUUUUAUUAAGGGUGUUUGUGGUGUCAUUUGAACGGUUUUGACGUUAAAAAUUAUUUGAACUGCAAAAAAAAAAAACCAUGUUGUUCAGUUUAAUUUGAUUGGCUUUGAGAAAUAAAAUCUAACCAAACCAAAUUAAACCAAUGCGGUUUUGAUUGGUUCUAGUUUUUUACAAGACUUUUAUUGAGUUAUACAUACACCUAUAGAGAAUAACAUAACUUUGUGUUUAGUCAUUCAUACAUUACCAAAUAACAAAAAAAAAUCAUCAUAUUUUGACAAAAACUUCUCAUUCAAUAUAUAAAAAUCAGAUUAAAUAAAAGUGAAAUAAAAAAUAAAAAAUAAUAGCAAAAACAAUAUAAAAAAUAUUUAAAUAAAAAGAAAGAGGAGAUGAGAGAUUACAGAAGAUGAAAAAUAAAGAACAUAAGAGAUGCGAGAUUAAAGAAGAAAGGUGCGUUAAAAACGUAAUUUGAAGAGAUAAUAAUAACAUAAAAAUGAGAUGAUGAAAAAGAAACAACAUAAGAGAAAAGAGAUAGAGUAGAAGAAGUGAAACAUACAUAACAAAACAAAGAAGAUGAGAAGAAUAUGCAAUACUAUCAUGAGAGAUUUGAGAAGAUUAAAACUAAAAUCCUAAGAGUGUGUUUGGGUGAAAUAUUUUAAUGAGAGAAAAUUUAAAGGAAUUUAAAGUGACACCAAAAAAUAAAGAAUUUGAAGGAAUUUAAAAUGAUUAGACCAAAAUUUAUUGUUUGGAUAAAAAAUAUAGAGAAUUGAUAAAAUGUUGUAAAUUUAUGAAAUAUUUUAUUCAAGUUAAAUUUAACGAAUUUAAAGUGACACCAAAAAAUAAAGAAUUUGAAAUUACUUAUUUUUUCUAUACAAUGGAAAUGUUAAAUUGUUUAUUAUUAAUUUUUUAAAUUUUGCAAGAUAUUCCUCAUAUUUUAUGAAAAAUUUAAAUUCAUCUGUAAAAUUGUCUAAAUAUUGCAAAUAAAUCCAUAAUAAUUUAAAAAUUUACAAAUUAGUCUAUUUAAAUUUUUAAAAAUUGUAAAUUGAUCUCUAUCUUUCAUAUUUUAAAUUUGUCCCAAAAAUGUUAACAUUUAUGAAAAUGAUCCCAAAAAUUUAACAAUAAAUCAUUUUAAUACUCCAUCCAAAGAAAAUAAUUUAAAAAUGAAUGAAUUUCAAUUGAAUCAUUUAAAUUGCUUAGAAUUUUGAAUUCUUUAAAAAUUCUCAAUUAACUCAUCCAAACAUACUCUAAGAUUUAAUAAGAGAAUAUUUGUUAGAUUAAGGCAAUAAUAUAUUUGAAUUUUGGAUUGAAUGUGAGAUAAGUAGGGUUUGCGUUGUAAAAUAAUACAGUUUGGUUUGGUUUAUUUUGACUUGCAAAAUACAAACCGCAAACCAAACCGAAUCGUGUUCAUUUGUUAAAAAAUAACCCAAACACAUUUGAAUCAAAUGUGAUUUUUUACAUUUUCGAUUUGAUGAUUUACGAUUUUCUAUUUUAUGUAAACAAUACAUUUUUUUCAUAUCAUUUUAAAUUGUUUGAAAAUAUUUAUUAUCUUGUUAAAAUGUCAUACGGGUAACAUCACAUGGAUUACAUGGGUAACAAGAUUAUGACAUCAUUAAUGACAAAAUAAUAAAAUCAUAGUACCUCAUAUUCUAUUUAUAAGAAAAAUAUUAAUUUUUAAUUCAUUCAAUAACUAAUAUAUCUAAUCUAUAUUCUAUUUUGAGAUAUUAUUCAUUCAAUAAAUUUAAAAAGACAAUUGUUUUCUUCUUAUAAAUAGAAUAAAACAAUAAAAAAUAAAAACUUAAAAUAGAAAAAGAAGAGGAUCCAGAAAUUAGAUAAAAAUAGUAUAGACGUUUUUUUAAAGGAUAUAUAUAUAUAUAUAUAUAUAUAUAUANCUAAAUACAAACAAAAUCUGCUUAUAAUUGAAAUUGAAAACAGGUACACGAGAAGUAUCGAGUGUUUAUUGUAUAUUUUCUUAUAAAUAGAGCAUAGAAGUAUCGAGUGUUUAUUGUAUAUUUUCUUGAGUGUGGCUCAAAAUAUAGAAUCAUAUGGGUUUAAAAUAUCCUUGAACCAUACAUUUACACAAGGAGUGACUUACACACGUCAUGAUCUUAGGUUUUUGACAUCAAUCUUUGGGACAAUCAGAAUCUUUAAAACAUCUACGCAUCCGUGCUAUAAAUAGAAAAGAAAAGAAAAAAGAAAAUUGGAUGGAAUAUUGUAUAUAAGGUGAAGAGAAAAUUUUAGAAGAUAAAAAUAACUUACCUUCAACAUAUCAGAUAAUUAUAAAAUAAACAAACUUGAUAAUUUGAGCCAUAAUUUUUCUCUUUCAUGUAACAAAAGGUUUUAUCACUUCAUUAUUUAUAAAGCUUUUUCUCUUCUUACAAAAAUCGAAUAUGUAUUAGCGCUUAUCUUAUCGAGUGGUAAAAACCACUUCCAUAAAGAUUAAUCAUAACUAAAUGUCUUUUAAAUAUAUCAAUGAGUUGUAUUUAUCUCUUUAAUAUAUUUAUUAAAGACCUCAAAUUAAAAACUUGUCACUCAUAACAAUUCAAUAAUUUUUUAUUAAAUAUCUAUUAGUGUUAUAACUUUUCGUAACAGGAAGGGAUAAAAAAACCAAAGACCAAUCAUAUUUUUGGACCACACAUAUCAGCAUGAACUUAGUGUGUUUUAUUGAUGAAUCAAACUUAACUACUUAAUGUGAAACAUUAAGUGAUAAUGAGUGAAUCCAUCUUUGAAAUUGUCCAACAUGUAUAUUAAAUGCAAUAAAAUUUAAAAGCUACUUAAUGCACUGUCAGUGUAAAAAUUUUUACACUAUCAAUUCAUCACCAUCAUCCGUUUGUAUUACUUUAUAGAUUUUUAAAAUAAAAGUCAAAUUUGUUUUAAUAUCCAGGUCUAUUAUUAACUGACUGUGUAAAAUCCUUUAAAUUAUCACUGUAUUUCAAUUAUAUAUAUAUAUAUAUAUAUAUAUAUAUAUAUAUAUAUNUCAGUGAUACUGGAUUGAAUGAUGCAAUAAAAUGCUUGUCGGGAUUGUUACAUAAUUUGACCAAGUAGCUUUGUUACACCAUCACUGCAUCUAGAUUUUGCACAUGCAUUAAUUAGAAAACUGAUAAGUUUCAUGUGUAAAUGGGUUUAUGGCUAAAAGUAGAAGUGCUGUCAUUAACCAGAGUCGUCGACGAAUUGGUUUUGUGAAACAAGUGAUAUCAUGUGAAUAGUAAUCGAGUAUAUUGUUUUGAGACUUGUGUGAAAUUUAGAGUUUCAUAACAUUUUUUCUCAAUGGUGAGAUGAAUGAGAUGUAAGUGGAUAAAUCAAACAGUUAUUUAAGGACAAUGGAUUGUUCAAAUACAAAGGCUGCAUGGAGACGAAGACGUACAGUGUUUGCUUAGUCGAUCGUUAUAGACGGUUAACUUAAGACUAUAUAUAAGUAAGGAUACACUUAUCUUUUUAGAGGUCCACAAUUGUACAAAAAUUCUGUAAAACUUAAAGACUAUCGUGUGUUGUGAGAAAAAGAGUCAAGAAUGUAUGUAUGCGUUUCCAUUUUUUACAAAUCAAAGUUUAUCUUAGAUACUGAAUUGAUAUUCAAUUAAUUUUCGUUUUCCUUAUUAUAUUUAUUUUCAAUCAUGUAAUAUUUUUGUUUCUUUUAUAUUUGAUUUCAAUGUAAACAUGCUUCAAACAUUAAUUUUCACCAAUAUGUCUUGGGAUCUCUUCGAGUUUAAUCCCGUGAAUGAAGUCAAAUGUUUUGUUUAUCAAAUUUCAAAGUAAACAAGUACUCCAUUAUUAAUAACUAUCACAUCCUUUUUUUAUUUUUACCUCGAGAGCUGCAUCAAUUUCUGAUUGAACUAUUGCACUUAAUGCAAACGAUGUCAAGUCUUCCAAUGUCAAGUAGAUUUUUCAUCCUACAUGCUUCAAUGUUCAACCUAAUAAUUUCAAUUGUGCUACUGAACUUUGUUGGGAUGCUUAGAUCUUCUUGAAUAUUCCUGGUGCUUUUUAAGUCUUUUUUUGUCCAAGAUGAAACUAGUGACCCAAGAAUAAAGAUUAAAGAAACUUUAAUAUGUGGAAUGAGCAUAUUUACUAGCGUUUCCUUUCAUUUUGUAUGACCUUGGCAGUGUGAAAAAGCUUGGUAAGUUUUUACCAGAAAAUUAAUAAGUUCAAGCAUACUCGAAAAUCAGCUAUCAUAACGGUUGGAAAAGGACACAACCACGUCUGACAACCGAUGUUAGUAGGAUGUAUGUAUGUAUGAUCUUUCUAUCACGAGCAUAAAACAUUGCGAUAACUAGAUAGGCACUGUAUAUCAACAACGUUAAAGUAUACAAUGUUGUGAUAUAAAAUUAAUGUAAAGAAGGAAAAAAACAUGCCUUUUUAUUUUUGGGGUUCUAUUUUCUUAGCUUCACCAGCAUUUGAAGGGCUUCGAAUUUAUGUCACCCCUAGACUUCAGUUUCAUCUACAACGAAAUGUGUAAGAACGAAGUAUAUGAAAAUAAUUUGAAUAAAUAAUAUAUACAUGUUUUUCUUUAUGGUUCUCUGGUAAGAUGAAAAAGGCGAUCGACGACCUCUUGUAGAAGUUUUGUUCCAAAGAAGUGGCCUGAAAGUAGUCGUCGACCGUUGUUGAAUUUCCACUAUUAAAGAGAUGAUGGAUGGUGGAAAGUAGGAAAUUCAAGGACUUAUUGACGAGUGAACAGCCAUGCAAUAUUUGUAUUCUGAGUAGUGAGUUUCCUUUACACAUUGAGCAACAACAAUUAUUGAAUGCAAAAAUAAUAAAUUGCAGUAUGUGAGUCUAUUAAAUAAAAUUAAUGCGUUUGAACAUGUCAAAAAAAUGUAUAACAAAGUUAAAAGUUUAGACAAUUAAAUUAUGAGUAACUGUUAUUUAUUUAACUAUCUUGUUGAUAAAAUUUUUUUAAUUAUUUGAAAAAUAUUAGAGACCCAACUCAAAUUAUUACAAUAAUAAAAGUAUAUAUUGUAGGUACGAGAAUAUUCAAUUAUGUGUUUAUGAUGUUAAGUAUUAAUUAAUUGAAAAUAUAUAGUAUGUUAAAUUAUUUUAUAUAUUUUUAUAAAGUUUUUAUAAGGUGUUGUGGUGCAUUUGAACGGUUUGACGUUAAAAUAUUGAAUGCAAAAAAAAACCAUGUUGUUCAGUUAAUUUGAUUGGCUUUGAAAAUAAAAAUCAACCAACAAAUGUAAACCAAUGCCGUUGUUGGUCUAGUUUUACAAGGCUUAUUAGUUAUACAUAACCUAUUAGAGAUAACAUAAUUGGUUUUAUCAUUCAUACAUUACCAAGGUAACAAAAAAAAAAUAUCAAUUUGACAAAAACUUCUCACAAAUAUAAAAUGCAGAUAUAAAAGUAAAUAAAAAAUAAAAACAUAAUAGAAAACAAAUAAAAAAAUAUCAAAUAAAAAGAAAGAGAGAUGAGAAGAUACAGAAGAAAAAAAUAAAGAACAUAAAGAUGCGAGAUUAAAGAAGGGAAAGGUGCGUUAAAAACUAAUUUGAAGAGAUAAUAAUAAACGAUAAAAAUGAGAUGAUGAAAAGAAACAACUAAGAGAAAAGAGAUAGAGUAGAAGAAGGUGAAACAUACAUUAACAAAAAAAAGAAGAUGAGAAGAAUAUGCAAUACUAUCAUGAGAGAUUUUGAGAGAUUAAAACUAAAAUCCUAAGAGUGUGUUUGGGUGAAAUAUUUUAAUGAGAGAAAAUUUUAAAGAAUUUAAAGUGACACCAAAAAAUAAAGAAGUUGAAGGAAUUUAAAAAUGCAUGAGGACCAAAAUUUAUUGUUUGGAUAAAAAAUAUAGAGAAUUGAUAAAAUGUUGUUAAAUUUUAUGAAAUAUAUUUAUUCAAAAGUUAAAAUUUAACGAAUUUUAAAGUGACACCAAAAAAUAAAGAAUUUGAAAUUACUUAUUUUUUCGUAUACAUGGAAAUGUUAAAUUGUUUAUUAUUAAUUUUUUUAAAAAUUUUGGCAAGUAUUCCUCAUAUUUUAUGAAAAAAUUUAAAUUUCAUCUUGUUAAAUUGUCUAAAUAUUUGCAAAUAAAUCCAUAAUAAUUUAAAAUUUACAAAUUAGUCUAUUUAAAUUUUAAAAAUUGUAAAUUGAUCUCUAUCUUUCAUAUUUUAAAUUUUGUCCCAAAAAUGUUAACAUUUAUGAAAAUUGAUCCCAAAAUUUAACAAAUAAAUCCAUUUUAAUACGUCCAUCCAAAGAAAAUAAUUUAAAAAUGGACCAAUGGAAAUUUCAAUGAAUCAUUAAAUUGCUUAGAAUGUGAAUUCUUUAAAAAUUUCUAAUAACUCAUCCAAAACAUACUCUAAGAUUUAAUAAAGAAAUAUUUGUUAGAUUAAGGCCAAUAAUAUAGUUGGGAAAUUUGGAUGAAUAGUGAGAUAAGGGUAGGGUUUGCGUUGUAAAAUAAGUUACAGUUUGGUUGGUUUAUUUGACUUGCAAAAUACAAAACCGCUCCAAACCAAACCGAAUCGAUGUCAUUUGUUAAAAAAUAACCCAAACAACAUUUUGAAAUCAAAUGUGAUUUUUUACAUUUUCGAUUUGAUGAUUUACGAUUUUCUAUUUUAUGUAAAACAAUACAUUUUUUUCAUAUCAUUUUUAAAUGGUUUGAAAAUAUUUAUCGAUCUUAGUAAAAAUGUCAUACGGGUAACAUCAGCAUGGAUUACAUGAGUAACAAGAUAUGACAUCAUUAAUGACAAAAAUUAAAUAAAAUCAUAGUAACCUUCAUAUUCUAUUUAUAAGAAAAUAUUUAAUUUUUAAUUCAUUGAAUAACAUAAUAUAAUCUAAAUCUAUAUUCUAUUUUGAAUAUUAUGGGCAUUCAAUAAAUUUAAAAGACAAUUUGUUUUCUUCUUAUAAAUAGAAUAAAAACAAUAAAAAAUAAAACUUAAAAUAGGAAAAAGAAGAGGAUCCAGAAAUUAGAUAAAAAAUAGUAUAGACGUUUUUAAAGGAGAUUAUAUAUAUAUAUAUAUAUAUAUAUAUAUUAUAUAUAUAUAUUAUAUAUAUAUAUAUAUAUAUAUAUAUAUAUAUAUAUAUAUAUAUAUAUAUAAUGGAAAAAUCUAAAUACAAACAAAAAUCUGCAUAUAAGUGAAAUUUGCAAAACAGCGUUACACGAGAAGUAUCGAUGUUUAUUGUAUAUUUUCUUAUAAUAAGAGCAUUUAAAGUAUCGAGUGUUUAUUGUAUAUUUUCUUGAGUUGUGGCUCAAAAUAUAGAAUCAUAUGGGUUUAAAAUAUCCUGUGAACCAUACAUUUACACAAGGAGUCACUUACACACGGUCAUUGAUCUUAGGUUUUGACAUCAAUCUUUGGGACCAAUCAGAAGCUUUAAAACAUCUACGCAUCCUGCUAUAAAUAGGAAAGAAAAGAAAAAAGAAAAUUGGAUGGAAUAUUGUAUAUAAGUUGAAGAGAAAAAUUUUAUAGAAGAGAAAAAUAACUUACCUUCAACAUAUCAGAUAAUUAUAAAAUAAACAAACUUGAUAAUUUGAGCAUAAUUUUCUCUUUCAUGUAAAAACAAAGCGGUUUAUCACUUCAUUAUUUAUAAAGCUUUUUCUCUUCUUACAAAAAUCGAAAUAUGUAUUAGCGGCUUAUCUUAAUCGGAGUGGUAAAAACCAUCCAUAAAAGAUUAAUCGAUAACUAAAUGUUCUUUAAAAUAUAUCAAUGAGUUGUAUUUAUCUCUUUAAUAUAUUUAUUAAAACCUCAAAUUAAAAACUUGUCACUCAUAAAACAAUUUCAAUAAUUUUUUAAAUAAAUAUUCUAAUUAGUGUGAUAACUUUCGUAACAGGAAGGAUAAAAAAACAAAAGACCAAUCAGGAUUUUUGGGGACACAACAUAUCAGCAUGAACUUAGUGGUUUAUUGAUGAAUCAAACUUAACUACUUAAUGUGAAACAUUCAAGGGAUAAUGAGUGGAAUCCAUCUUGAAAUUGUCCAACAUGUAUACUUAAAUGCGAGAUAAAAUUUAAAAGCUACUUAAUGCACUUGUCAGUGUAAAAAUUUUUACACUAUAAUUCAUCACCUCAUCCGUUUGCUAUUACUUUAUAGAUUUUUAAAAUAAAAGUCAAAUUUGUUUAAUAAUCCAGGUCUAUUAUUUAACUGACUGUUGUUAAAAUCCUUAAAUAUCACUGUAUUUCAAUUAUAAUAUAUAUAUAUAUAUAAUAUAUAUAUAUAUAUAUAUAUAUAUAUAUAUAUAUAUAUAUAUAAUAUAUAUAUAUAUAUAUAUAUUAGCUAUUAAAAAAACAAGGAUCUAACUGUGCGCUCAAUUAAUGCUUAUACAAGUCAAAGAAAAUACUAUUAAUCACAAAAGGUUAUCAAAUUGAUGAAAAUUUAGAGAUAAAAAAAAGGCAUGAAUUUUGAUUACUCAGUGUGUUAAAGAGACAAACAUAACAUAUUUAUUGACUUUAGAAACAUUUAAUAAUGAAUAUAUCUUUUGAAAGGGUUUUUAGAAACAAAUACUAAAAACUAUUAAGUUCAUAUAAAAAAGGGACGAGGUUUAUAAAUUACAAAGUAAUAAAACAAUCUUUUAAAUGCAAAGGUGUGAAAAUAUGACUGUAAUUGUGAGGUUUUUCUAUUUUGUAAUCAUCAUUCUUUUUCUAUUUCUUCUUAUUACGAAUGUUGAAGGUUAGUCAAUCUUAUAUAUUUUUUGAUUCUUUUAUACAAUUUAAUUAUAUUAUUUAAUUAUCUUUUUUCUUUCUUAUAGGAAAGAAAAUAAAAUGUCGAACCGAUUCAGAUUGUCCCAAACAAACGUGCCGAUUUCCGACAUACAAUAAAUGUGUUAUUCGCAACCAUUGUAAAUGUGUUCUUUCUAGAAUUAUAUGAUUUCAAUAACAUAAGUAGUUAUGAAUUUGUAAUCUAAGUGAUGGUUAUAAAAGGAAAUAAGUCAACAACGAAUAUUAUUUAGAUGUUUUCUUCUUUCUUUAUUUCAGAGAUAUUUCCAUUGCCUUUUGAAUUCAUGCUUAUCAAUUUUCCUUGUCUACCUUAUCUCCCAUUAUGCUAACGAAGGCAUCUGAAAUACUCUAAAAUCCAAAUAAAAAAAAUAUUACAUUGAACACAAAUCUUUUUAAAAAAAACAUACCUUUAAUUAUUUAGAAAUUUUAAGCAAUUUUUUUUAGUUUCUUGUAUUUUUCUGGAAUUAUGAAUAAAUGAACGAAUACGGAACAUAAAAAUAAAGUGUAGAAAAUAAAUUAAAACAGAGAAUUAUACUAAUUCUCUCUAUCAAC